This 523-nucleotide long non-coding RNA is filed under the name Mytilus galloprovincialis (Mediterranean mussel). The record is from RNAcentral. Lineage: Eukaryota; Metazoa; Mollusca; Bivalvia; Mytilida; Mytilidae.
AAAAAAAAUAGGCGUAAUUACCAAUAUACCACCGAGGUUUCCAAUUCAUUUUACAAAUGCAACAAGAUUGUCACUCAGUAUUAAUUUUAAUCAUCAUGUAAUACAGCAUUUAAAAUCGUUUGAUGCACAAAGGCGUGCCCUUUCAUCAACUUUACAGGGUGUAGCUACCGCAAGUAUAGUCCAAAUAAUUAUGAUGUCUGGCAAGGCUAUUUUAUUUUUUUUUCUGGGACGCCGUUGUAGCAGAGACAUAUAAUACAUAUAUGUCUCUGGUUGUAGUAAGGCGUCCCAGAAAAAAAAUAAAAUAGCCUUGCCAGACGUCGUAAUUAUUUGGACUGCCGCAAGUAUACAAUGAAUCUCUGUCAAAGGGCUCCUCCUGCCAAGUCUCGAAUGUCAGCACAACUUUAUCAAGGAAUCCUCUAUCAGAUCUGAACAUAUUUGCCAAUGCUACAAUAACCAGCGGAACAUUUACAAUUAAUUUAGUAAAUAAAGAUCGACCUACCCAAUUCUCCUUGUGCGUCCACCG